AGUGAACGCUGGCGGUAGGCCUAACACAUGCAAGUCGAACGGCAGCACAGGAGAGCUUGCUCUCUAGGUGGCGAGUGGCGGACGGGUGAGGAAUACAUCGGAAUCUGCCCAGUCGUGGGGGAUAACGUAGGGAAACUUACGCUAAUACCGCAUACGACCUUCGGGUGAAAGAGGGGGAUCGCAAGACCUCUCGCGAUUGGAUGAGCCGAUGUCGGAUUAGCUAGUUAGCGGGGUAAUGGCCCACCAAGGCGACGAUCCGUAGCUGGUCUGAGAGGAUGAUCAGCCACACUGGAACUGAGACACGGUCCAGACUCCUACGGGAGGCAGCAGUGGGGAAUAUUGGACAAUGGGCGCAAGCCUGAUCCAGCCACACCGCGUGGGUGAAGAAGGCCUUCGGGUUGUAAAGCCCUUUUGUUGGGAAAGAAAUCUUUCAGGCUAAUACCCUGGGAGGAUGACGGUACCCAAAGAAUAAGCACCGGCUAACUUCGUG
Molecule: ribosomal RNA, 490 nt
Filed under: uncultured bacterium
Lineage: Bacteria
Description: partial 16S ribosomal RNA
Rfam family: Bacterial small subunit ribosomal RNA
Source: RNAcentral